AAAUCAAAUACAAACUUAGAAUUAGAAUUUGAAUUUAAAUUUGAAUCCAAACUCAAAAUUUAAAUUUAAAAUUUAAAUCUUAAAUUAAAAAUCCUUCUUGGAAUUUAUAAUUUAAUUCAAAAUAUAAUUUAAAUUUAAAUUUUAAAUUUGAUAGUAUAAAAUUCAAAUUAAAAUUGUAUAAUUAACUAGUGCUGACACGGCACCUUCGUGGUGCUGAGAUGUGGUAUUUUUCGUCAAUUUUAAUAUCUUUCUGACAGCUUAGAUAUAAUUGUAAUGAAAUUAAGUGAUUGAAAAAAAAAUUGAGG
Molecule: long non-coding RNA, 305 nt
Filed under: Ananas comosus (pineapple)
Lineage: Eukaryota; Viridiplantae; Streptophyta; Magnoliopsida; Poales; Bromeliaceae
Description: long non-coding RNA (ACOM_LNC030927)
Source: RNAcentral